CACUCGUUACUUGCUUCCAUUGCAUUGCUUCUCAUUCAGGGAGUCUGGCCUAGCCAUUCGGAUCAGUUACUAUUAGGAGUUUCUGUGUAAGUUAAGCAUGAUUAAGCGGUCGCCAAGUAGGAACAGCAGAACCAGAGGCAUCAAGGUAAAGCAUAUUCUGCAGAUUAUUCUGUUGUUGGGCGUUUGCUUCUGGUUGAUCUAUCAGGUUAAGCACUCGCGUGAUAAGAAAAAUGAAUAUGAUGAAAAUGAUAGAGAAGUGUCAGUUGGAACUAAGACUGUGUAUCCGACUCCGAAACUUGGUAGAAAAGAUCUUCAUCCAGGUAAGGAUGAAGAUAAACAUGAACACAAUGAACGUGAAGAAGAAGGAAAUGAGCAUGAAUUUGAAGAAAAUGAUGACAAGCUUGGAUUGAGAGUAGGAGGAGAAGAGGAAGAGGAAGAUGAAAGCAGAAGCGAUGAGAUGGAAGAUGAAAGGGGUGGAGGAGAUGAUGAAAUGGAAGAUGAAAGGGGUGGAGGAGAUGAUGAGAUAGAUGAGACUGAUCAAGAGCAAUCAACAGCAGAUACUGAUCGUGAUGAAGAUCUGCCCGACGAUGAGGAAGAAAAAGAAGAGGAGAGUAAUGAGAAAGAAAACAACAGUAAAGAGGAGGAAAGGGAUGGUUCAGUUGAAAAACACAAUAGUCAUGAAGCUCGGGAGCAACAUUACAAGGGGGAUGAUGCAUCUAGUGCUGUGACUCACGAUACUAGUACAACUAGCACUGAAACUGUGUCACUUUUAGAAAACCCUGAUGUAAACUUAGAUUUUAAUAAUAAAGAAGCUGAAUUGGCGAGUGAGCAGUCUUUCAAUGCGAGCUUGUCCAACGCUGUGUAUAGCUCACAUCUACACAAUGUUACCACGACAUUUUUGGACAGUCAUUCAGAAGCAGGCACUAAUCUGACAGUAGUGAUUGCUGGAGGAAGCAAUGAGUUGACAAGAAUCAGUGCCAAUACUUCAUUUGAACUGAAUAAAACGGUGAUAUUUUCUGAAUCAUACCAAACUCAAAAUGGUACCGUGAACACAAUAGUAACCGGGGUAGCAAAAAAUAUACUCACAGAAGGGUUAGUGCAGGAUGGCAAUAAGGUCUAUGAAGAAAACCAGCCCGGUUCUAAUUCGGCAGUUCCUGUUGAAAUAGAAAAGGGAGAUGCAGCUGCAGGUGAAUCUUCUAAUCUUGAGGGUGGUGUACUAGAGAACACUACAAAAUCUGUGGCAUCAAAUGAAACAGAUAAUAACACUGAAGUGAGUGAAACUAACAAUACUCAGAAUAUUUCUCAUACGAAUGAGAACACUGAUUCUAUUAAGGAUGGAUUCAAAGGUGAUUCAUCUGAUUCUCACAUCCUCAAGAGUGUCGCAGAGGACCGAACUGAUCUGGAUACGUUGCCAGAUAUUAUAAAAGAAGGGGAUGUUGUUGACGCCAUUGCAACAGACUAAAAGCAUGGUUUUUUGUUCUCAAGAAGAGCUGAGAGAUUAGAGUUUUUGUUUCGACCCAUGUUGAUAUUUGAACACUUUUUCCUGUCAAAUAGAUAAAUGUCUAGGCAAGACCAUCAAAGUUACAAAGCUGACAGAAAGGAUGAUUCUUGCGGGCCAUGAAGAGGACAUGUCCAUUCCAGUUGUCCACAACUACAUUUCUGCACCAAAAUACAGCAGUUGAGUCAUAUGGUACGUCAAAUUGAAUUCAAAUGGAGCCUUUUCGUCCCUUACAAAUCACUGCAUUGUAUGAAUACAUUAAUUAAUGGAUAAUGCUGGUUACUCUUUCAUCUUGUUCAGUGGUGCAAUUGCAGGCCUCGAGCUGGUUUAAGCUCAUCACUGUUGAUUUGGAUUAGAUUCUUCAGUGGCAACUCAACUUCUCAAUAAUAGAUGCACAAGUUUCUCUGUCAUUCUACUACCUGUCAAUGUACUACUGUCUUAUAGAGUUUACUGUAUAGGAUAUUUUACAUGUAUAAC
RNA transcript from Vigna angularis (adzuki bean), 1975 nucleotides. RefSeq lists it as uncharacterized. The record is from RefSeq and is a predicted model, not a curated record. The transcript is spliced from 3 exons. NCBI's taxonomy places the organism in Eukaryota, Viridiplantae, Streptophyta, Magnoliopsida, Fabales, Fabaceae.